This 109-nucleotide ribosomal RNA is filed under the name Tenacibaculum mesophilum. Lineage: Bacteria; Pseudomonadati; Bacteroidota; Flavobacteriia; Flavobacteriales; Flavobacteriaceae. The record is from RNAcentral.
UAAGGUGAUUAUCGCAAUGGGGCCCACCUCUUACCAUUCCGAACAGAGAAGUUAAGCCCAUUAGCGCCGAUGGUACUGCCACAGGUGGGAGAGUAGGUCGUUGCCUUUC